UUUUUCUUUUUUUUGGUGAAGGAAUUCAAGGGGGAAUGGGGCUUGUCUAUACUUUCCAAAUUCUCUACUUUGAAUACUUAGGGUAUUUUAAAAAUCAAUCAAUAAAUAUUAACUAAAAAGUAAAUUUUUAAAACCUGAGGAAGGCAUGUGCAGUUCAGGAAACACCAAAUAAAACUACAUCUUUAAUUGUAAAGAAAGCAAAGAACUAAAUUCAGAUAACUCGGUGAUCUAUCAAAUCAGUCAGGAAACAAUUGGGUAUUGUUUAUGAUCAUUCCUGAGUAGGUUUCACUCAAUAUUCGGUUUACUUUUUUAAUUGUCUCAUAAUUUACAAGUGUUACUUUAUGUAUUUAUUUUUCAAAACAUCACUCUCAGACAGUUUGGCUAAUAGAAACUACAUUAUUCUGGCUUUCUGGAACACCUGAAAGAGAAUUAUUUUUGAUUGCAGAGCAAUUUUGUGAUACUUCUAAGUGGAAGGGGCUAAGAAAUUUUGUGAUGUUCUAAAACAGUUCAUCUAAAAAUGUUUUCGAUAUUCAGACUGCGUAUUAUUGAUCACGUAUUUUACCCCCUGUUUUUAUUAUGUCCUUUUUUUGCUUAGCAUAAAACUACAUUUAUUUUUUAUUGAAGUAGAGUUGAUAUGCAAUGUUACAUUAGUUUCAGGUGUACAGCAUAGUGAUUCAAUAAAUCUAUACAUUAUGCUAUGCUCAUAAAAGUAGCUGCCAUCGUCACUAUUCAAUGCUAUUACAGUAUCACUAACUAUACUUCUCAUUUACCUUUUCUUCUUCCUUAUACUCACCUUCUGCACACAGCCUUACAUGAUCCCUCAACUCCCACUACUCAGAGCUGAACAUCAGCUUGGAAACAAUUUACACAUUUCUUUCUCCCACUAAACUGUCAGUUACUUGGUAUGUAAGCAGGUAAGUAAGCAGGUAUGUAAGCUUAUUCUUCUUGGUAUCCUCUCACUAACAUUCGUGACUCCAGACUGGACUCCAGACUUCUCCAUGCCUAUCAGUCCUCCACAUUAUAAGCAGAGUUCCUUUUAUGUAAUAAAAAUGAAAAGAUGCAGUAUCUUCUGGAAAUUUCCUUAUUAGUUUAUUGUAAGUUUUACUGUAGUAAUGGAUAAAUUCUAAAUCUCAAGAGUUCACAAAACAAGGGUUUAUUUCUUCCUCAUGUUAGAAGUCAGUUGGGAACCAGCUAUGACUCUGCCCCCAAAUCUUCUACAUUCUAGGAUUCGUACAGGAAGAACAAUCCUUAUCUACUGCAUUGAGGAAAGAGUAAAGGCAGAAUCAUACAAUAGUUAUGAAAGCUUCUGCUUAGGUAUGGUGUAAAUCACUUUGGCUAACAGGCCAUUGGAAAAAGAAAGUCCCGUGGCCAAGCCUGGUGUCAAUGGUGCAAUGAAUAACAUAAUUCUGUCACAGGGAGGGGCUGCAGAUAAUUGGAAACAGUAACAAGAUAAAUAACAGUAAUGCCUUCUUUUGCAUUUUCAUACUUUUUUUAGAUAUUAAUAGUUGAAGAAAAAUGAGUGGGAGUUGCUAACUCUUGGUUCCUAAUAUAACAAGUAUUUAUUUGUGAUACGAUUUUAAAGCUGAGUUUUGACAAAAGUCAAGUAAAGGAUCUUAAGCUUCUGUUCAGGUCAAUGUGCCUUGACAAAAUUGAACCUCAAGACAUAAUUAGCAAAUCAUUUUUAAAAUUGACAAAGAAAUUAUGUACUAUUCUUUCUAUGAAAUAGGCGUGAAUAUUUCUUAUGCUUUGGGUAUAUCAGACCCAUUUGGAGAUGGUUAUUGAAGAGCCAAAUAAUGCAGUAGUGAUUGAUGGUACAAUCUAAAUUCUCCAGCAUCAAGUUGUGCAGAUGCAUCCUCUAUCUCAAUGGAGUUCAAGAAGAAGCCAUAAAAUGUUCAGCCUCUUUUUGGGCUUUUUUUUUUUUUUAAUCUUGGGCUAUAUUAAUCCUCCUCAGUAGUCAGAAUACCCCAGUAAUUCAGAUAUUUUUCUUAAAGAUGCUGCAAAGCUUAAAUUUUGCUGAUUGAUUAUGCUUCUUGAUUCUUUCGUGGGUUUAAUAUCUAUUAACUGAACGUUAAAUUCGAGAACUUCAAAACUCUUACUUCACUGGAAAACUAUUCCAGCAAAGUUUACUAAUGCAAAACAAAACAACAACAACAAAAAGACUCUGAAUUAUCAAAAAGCUGAAGUAUGCAAUAUUUUUAAGAGUGCAGUGUUACUUCCUUCAACCACAGUAAUUUGAUCUAGCUUUAGGCUCAAGGAUAUCUUUAAAAACUGAUUUUACAAAACGGAUAAAAAGUAUUUGUAAUUACUGUAUCAAUUGUUUGUUUAUGUAGAUGCUGCCAAAGUAUUUAGGAGUGCUUGAGAACAGUUUCUUUUCUUAAAUAUAUUUAUUUUACAGUUUUAUUUACAUUUACUAGCCUGGAAAAACCUUUCAUCACAGAUCUAUGAAAGAUACUGGUUUUCAUGUAAUUGAAAAAAUACAAGCAAAGCUGUUAUUUUGAAUCACACAGACAAAAGAAAAAAUACUGUUUCUUUUCAGAAUCUGAGCAUUAAAAAAAGAAACCAAUUUAAGAUAUGCUACUUAUAUGUAGGAAAAAAGUCUUUCUGUAUUCCUCAGUAAAAUAUUUCAAGGAAUGAAGAUCUAUAUAAACACACACAUAUAUGUAUAUGUAUAUAUAUAUAAAUACACAUAUAUAUAUGAAGAGAGAGAUACGGUUAUAUAUAGUUAUAUGUAUAGUUGCUAAUAUACAUGUAAAUAUAUGUAUGUAUAUAUAUGUGUUUAUACAGAUAUAGAUAUAGAUGGUAUAGAGUUAUAGAUAUAUAGUAAAGGAUUCUAGAUUUUUUCUUAUAGUUAAGCAUUAGAACUUCAUCACUUUUCCCUUCCU
RNAcentral lists this long non-coding RNA (2882 nucleotides) under Canis lupus familiaris (dog). RNAcentral's name for it is "lncRNA (ENSCAFG00805026031.1, ENSCAFG00845009330.1)". Lineage: Eukaryota; Metazoa; Chordata; Mammalia; Carnivora; Canidae. The record is from RNAcentral.